GUAAGUUGGGCGUGAAAGCUCCGGGCUUAACUCGGAGAUGUCGUUCAAUACUGCGGGGCUUGAGGACAGCAGAGGAAGGUGGAAUUCCCGGUGUAGUGGUGAAAUGCGUAGAUAUCGGGAGGAACACCCGUGGCGAAGGCGGCCUUCUGGGCUGUUCCUGACGCUGAAGGCGAAAGCUAGGGGAGCGAACGGGAUUAGAUACCCCGGUAGUCCUAGCUGUAAACGAUGGAUGCUGGGUGUGGGGGGUGUAAAUUCCCUCUGUGCCGAAGCAAACGCGUUAAGCAUCCCGCCUGGGGACUACGGCCGCAAGGCUAAAACUCAAACGAAUUGACGGGGGCCCGCACAAGCAGCGGAGCGUGUGGUUUAAUUCGAUGCUACACGAAGAACCUUACCUGGGUUUGACAUGCACGUGGUAGGGAACCGAAAGGGGACCGACCUUCGGGAGCGUGCACAGGUGCUGCAUGGCUGUCGUCAGCUCGUGCCGUGAGGUGUCGGGUUAAGUCCCGUAACGAGCGCAACCCUUGCCCUUAGUUACAAGUGUCUAAGGGGACUGCCCGGGACAACUGGGAGGAAGGUGGGGAUGACGUCAAGUCAGCAUGGCCUUUAUAUCCAGGGCUACACACACGCUACAAUGGCCGGUACAAUAGGUUGCGAAGUCGUGAGGCGGAGCCAAUCCUCAAAGCCGGUCUCAGUUCGAAUUGCAGUCUGCAACUCGACUGCAUGAAGCUGGAGUUGCUAGUAAUCGCAGGUCAGCUAUACUGCGGUGAUACGUUCCCGGGCCUUGUACACACCGCCCGUCACGUCAUGGAAGCUGGCAACGCCUGAAGCCGGUGAGCU
This 837-nucleotide ribosomal RNA is filed under the name uncultured organism. RNAcentral's name for it is "bacterial SSU rRNA". It matches the Rfam family "Bacterial small subunit ribosomal RNA", at positions 583 to 1436 of the family's 1533-position model. The record is from RNAcentral.